Molecule: ribosomal RNA, 492 nt
Filed under: uncultured bacterium
Lineage: Bacteria
Description: partial 16S ribosomal RNA
Rfam family: Bacterial small subunit ribosomal RNA
Source: RNAcentral
AGUGAACGCUGGCGGUAGGCCUAACACAUGCAAGUCGAACGGCAGCACAGUAAGAGCUUGCUCUUACGGGUGGCGAGUGGCGGACGGGUGAGGAAUACAUCGGAAUCUACUUUUUCGUGGGGGAUAACGUAGGGAAACUUACGCUAAUACCGCAUCCGACCUACGGGUGAAAGCCGUGGAUCUUCGGACCUUGCGCGAUUAAAUGAGCCGCUGUCGGAUUAGCUAGUUGGCGGGGUAAAGGCCCACCAAGGCGACGAUCCGUAGCUGGUCUGAGAGGAUGAUCAGCCACACUGGAACUGAGACAUGGUCCAGACUCCUACGGGAGACAGCAGUGGGGAAUAGUGGACAAUGGGCGCAAGCCUGAACCAGCAAUACGGCGUGGGUGAAGAAGGCCUUCGGGUUGUAAAGCCCUUUUGUUGGGAAAGAAAAGCAGCAGGUUAAUAUCCCGCUGUUCUGACGGUACCCAAAGAAUAAGCACCGGCUAACUUCGUG